UAAACUUGUGUUGGUUUUUUAUUUUUUGUAUUGGUGUUGUUGUUAUUGAUUUUGAUUAUUGUAAACUUAAUUGUGAUUUAUCAGUUUCUUUUUAUGUUAGUUUUUUCAAGGUUUCAAGCUUAAUAAAUCAACUUUCGAUUGAUGGUUCAUGGGUUUGUUUUGAUUGACAUUAAAUUGUCAUUAAUCUAACCCAACCUUAACCUGAUCAAAAAAGGUAGCGGUAAAAGAUAUACUUUGUCGCCUUGUUGAACACAUUUUUUCUAAUAACCAACAACAAUCAACUUUUGAUGUGCUAACUGUUGCUUGGUGUUUAAUGGAUCUUUGGUUGUUUUUUUCAUCAAAUGAUGCUUACUUGGUGUAAUUUAAUUUCUACAAUCGAUUGAUUAUUGUCAACAGCCUUGGUAUUCCAAUUCAUGAUGUUUCUUUCAAAUUUGAGAUCAGGAGACCUUCCAUCGUGGCUAUCAAAGCAAGAUAUUUAAUAUGGAUAAGACGAAAUAUAAAGUCAUAUAUUUUAUGGGAUAUUUCUCGAUAUUUUAUGAGAAAGAUGGCUGUGAUUACAACAAAACAAUUAUGGGCUAAUCCGAACAUCAUCUGAUAUUGGAUCAACUCUAUUAAAUUUUACCUCCAUACAAUUAAAGAUGACAUUAAAGCCAUGUUCGUUGCUUCUCUUGUAGACCAACUCAGCACUCCUUUUCAACAACAACAACCCAUAAUCCAUCAAUUUAUAUUUCAUUUAACCUGUUUUUUCAUUCCUGAUUAAUCUUAAUUUUUUCGAACUUAACUCUUAACAUCUUUUUUUUCAUUCUUCAUCUCAUUUCUCACCUUAUCAAAACUUCCCCUGAAUUACUCAACCCAACAAUCACCUAAAUCUAACAUAUAGUUGAUUAGAUUAUCAUCAACAGCUACAACCUCUCCCGUUGUAUCCAGUUAUAUCUAGUUGCAGUGCUUUACUUACCAUAGUAACUCUUUGCUGUUCAAUAAAUUCUGAUAGAAACCUCUACAGUUGAACAAUUAAUUUCCCUUUCCUUCAAUCAAUCCUUUAUUCACUCUAUUUUUUCAAUUGAUUAACAUUAACAAUAGCACAUGUUGUUGUCAAGAUGCACCAUAAAUGAUUCACUCUUCAGGCCUACAAUCUUUAAAACUAAGCUUUUACGAGUAAACCUUAAAUUUAUUUUAAAAUAGUCUAUUCAAAAUACUUUAGGUCAGAACACCUAAAAUAUGGCCAAUUUGUGGUCAGUUUUAUCAAGCCUAUUCCAAGUUGAACCAAUAGAUUUGGCCUUUUCAACCAUCUACAUCUGCACGUCUUUACAUCUUUACAUUUACUCUAUGGAUUGAUUGAUAAACUGAUUGUUGAGCUGGCAAAUUGUGUACAAGUACCACGAACUGCUACAUGACGGAAAAAUAUAUGAUUACAUGAAAUGGCCACAAAUAUUGACAAAACUGUUUACCUCCUAAGUUUUCCAAGUACCUCUACAAGUCAAUUCAAGUCAAGUAUACUUUGACUACUUUAAAUUGGAUCAUUUUUCAGAUUACAAUAUACAAUACAAACAAUAAUUAAUUAAAUUAUAGUAGUUGUUGCUAUGUUGAUUACAUU
Long non-coding RNA from Tetranychus urticae (two-spotted spider mite), 1594 nucleotides. RefSeq lists it as uncharacterized. Lineage: Eukaryota; Metazoa; Arthropoda; Arachnida; Trombidiformes; Tetranychidae. The record is from RefSeq and is a predicted model, not a curated record.